AGAGUUUGAUCAUGGCUCAGGAUGAACGCUAGCGGCAGGCUUAACACAUGCAAGUCGAGGGGCAGCAGGCGGUAGCAAUACUGUGCUGGCGACCGGCGCACGGGUGCGUAACGCGUAUGCAACCUACCCACUACAGGGGGAUAACGGAGGGAAACUUCCACUAAUAUCCCAUGGUGUUGUUUUCCCGCAUGGGGAGACAACUAAAGCUUCGGUGGUAGUGGAUGGGCAUGCGUGACAUUAGGUAGUUGGCGGGGCAACGGCCCACCAAGCCGACGAUGUCUAGGGGAGCUGAGAGGCUUAUCCCCCACACUGGUACUGAGACACGGACCAGACUCCUACGGGAGGCAGCAGUGAGGAAUAUUGGUCAAUGGACGGAAGUCUGAACCAGCCAUGCCGCGUGGAGGAAGAAGGUCCUAUGGGUUGUAAACUCCUUUUGUUCCGGAGUAAUAAGGUCUUUGCGAAGACCGAUGAGAGUACGGGACGAAUAAGCAUCGGCUAACUCCGUGCCAGCAGCCGCGGUAAUACGGAGGAUGCAAGCGUUAUCCGGAUUUAUUGGGUUUAAAGGGUGCGCAGGCGGACAGUUAAGUCAGCGGUGAAAUCUCACGGCUCAACCGUGGAACUGCCGUUGAUACUGGCUGUCUAGAGUACGGACGGCGCCGGCGGAAUGUGUCAUGUAGCGGUGAAAUGCUUAGAUAUGCCACAGAACACCGAUCGCGAAGGCAGCUGGCGAGGCCGAGUACUGACGCUCAGRCACGAAAGCGURGRGAUCAAACAGGAUUAGAUACCCURSUAGUCCACGCAGUAAACGAUGARGACUUGUUGUCGGCGAUAGAAUGUCAGUGACAAAGCGAAAGCGAUAAGUCCUCCACCUGGGGAGUACGAUCGCAAGGUUGAAACUCAAAGGAAUUGACGGGGGCCCGCACAAGCAGUGGAUUAUGUGGUUUAAUUCGAAGCAACGCGAAGAACCUUACCAGGUCUUGACAUCUCCUGCAUAGCCUAGAGAUAGGUGAAGUCCUUCGGGACAGGAUGACAGGUGGUGCAUGGUUGUCGUCAGCUCGUGUCGUGAGAUGUUGAGUUAAGUCCCGCAACGAGCGCAACCCUUGCCAUUAGUUGCUACGCGAGAGCACUCUAAUGGGACCGCUACCGACAAGGUGGAGGAAGGUGGGGAUGACGUCAAAUCAUCAUGCCCCUUAUGACCUGGGCUACACACGUAAUACAAUGGCCAUCAACAGAGGGUCGCAAUACCGCGAGGUGGAGCCAAUCCCUAAAAAUGGUCUCAGUUCGGAUCGCAGGCUGCAACCCGCCUGCGUGAAGCUGGAAUUGCUAGUAAUCGCGGAUCAGCAUGCCGCGGUGAAUACGUUCCCGGGCCUUGUACACACCGCCCGUCACACCAUGGGAGUUUGUAACACCCGAAGUCUGUAGUCUAACCCUUGUGGAGGACGCAGCCGAAGGUGGGAUAAGCGACUGGGGUGAAGUCGUAACAAGGUAACCGUA
Molecule: ribosomal RNA, 1494 nt
Filed under: uncultured rumen bacterium
Lineage: Bacteria
Description: partial 16S ribosomal RNA
Rfam family: Bacterial small subunit ribosomal RNA
Source: RNAcentral